GGGCCCAUAGCUCAAUCGGUAGAGCAGCGGACUCUUAAUCCGGAGGUUGAAGGUUCGAUUCCUUCUGGGCUCA
This 73-nucleotide transfer RNA is filed under the name Myxococcota bacterium. Its description in RNAcentral is "tRNA-Lys". It matches the Rfam family "tRNA". Rfam says of the family: Transfer RNA (tRNA) molecules are approximately 80 nucleotides in length. The record is from RNAcentral. Lineage: Bacteria; Pseudomonadati; Myxococcota.